AAACUUAAAAAACGUAUAAAUUGAAAACCCCAAUCCAAACACACCCUAGGGUUUUCUUCUUCCUCUAUUCUUCUCUCUGCAGCAAACGAACAGAGAAAAACCCUGGCUAUAAAAUCUCACUUUCACAUUGUAUUAUAUAACAAAAGCAUCCCUUUUUAUUUGAUCUCUUCACCUUUAAGGUAAGCUCUCAAUAACCCAUAUCUCAAAAUCCCUUCGUUUUUUUUUCCUGUAUAUUCCAAAAUCUGUUCAAAACCCCAGAAGUAAAAUCAAAUAAAGUUCCAAACUGGGCUUUGGAAAUUCAUCUAUACGAAAAAAGAAAUUUUAAGGAAAAAUCAGUAUGGAUGAUGUUGAAAAGGCAAUAUUGAUUAGCUUUGAUGAAUCAGUUACCUUAGAUUCAGGAUUAAAAUCACAGGCAGUGAACUUUUGUCAGCGAAUUAAAGAAACCCCGUCAAUAUGUAGCCUUUGUAUUGAGAAGUUGUGUUUUUGCAAGCUCGUUCAGGUUCAGUUUUGGUGUUUACAAACUUUACGUGAUGUUAUUAGUGUAAAAUAUGGGUCCAUGAGCUUGGAAGAGAAGAACUUUAUCAGAAAGUCAGUUUUUUCGAUGGCGUGUUUAGAACGUAUCGAUGGUAAGUUGUGUGCUGUUUUGGAAAGUCCUACAUUUAUUAAAAACAAGCUUGCUCAGGUUUUGGUUAUUUUGGUUUACUUUGAGUACCCUUUGAUUUGGUCAUCAGUUUUUGUUGAUUUCCUGCCUCAUUUGAGUAAAGGGGCUGUGUUGAUCGAUAUGUUUUCUCGGCUUUUGAAUGCAUUGGAUGAUGAGUUGAUUAGUUUGGAUUAUCCACGGACACCUGAAGAGGUGGCAGUUGCAGGAAGGGUUAAGGAUGCAAUGAGGCAACAGUGUGUGGCUCAGAUUGUUAGAGCAUGGUAUGACAUUGUGUCUAUGUAUAGGAGUUCUGAUCCUGAAGUUUGCACUACUGUUUUGGAUUGUAUGAGGAGGUAUAUUUCCUGGAUUGACAUUGGGUUGAUUGUGAAUGAUGCGUUUAUUCCGCUACUGUUUGAGUUGAUUUUGCUUGAUGGUUUAUCAGAACAACUUCGUGGUGCUGCUGCCGGAUGUGUUUUGGCAGUAGUUUCUAAACGAAUGGAUGCACAGUCAAAACUAACUCUUUUGAAGAGUCUUCAAAUAAGUCGAGUUUUUGGUUUGAUAUCUGAUGAUAAUGAUUCUGAGUUGGUUUUGAAAGUAGCAGCCUUAAUAACAGGGUAUGCAGUGGAGGUUUUAGAGUGUUCCAAGCGGCUGAACUCAGAAGAUGCUAAGGUGGUUUCGAUGGAGCUUUUAGAUGAAGUUUUGCCAACAGUGUUCUAUGUAAUGCAAAAUUGUGAGAUGGAUGCAGCAUUUAGUAUUGUCCAAUUUCUUUCAGGUUAUGUUGCCACCAUGAAAACCCUUUCUCCUUUGCAAGAGAAACAAAUGCUUCACAUCAGUCAGAUACUGGAAGUGAUUCGUACACAGAUUCGUUAUGAUCCCAUGUACCGCAAUAAUCUUGAUAUAUUGGAUAAGAUUGGGAUGGAAGAAGAAGACAGGAUGGUGGAGUUUAGAAAGGAUUUGUUUGUGUUGUUACGGAACGUAGGUCGAGUAGCACCUGAAGUUACUCAGAUCUUUAUCACGAAUUCAUUUGCUAGUGCUAUUGCAUCUUCGUCAGACAGGAAUGUGGAAGAGGUAGAAGCUGCCCUUUCCCUUUUGUACGCACUUGGAGAGUCUAUGACUGAUGAGGCAAUGAGGGCAGGAACUGGACUGUUGAGUGAACUGGUGACAAAUCUAUUAUCAACAAGAUUUCCAUGCCAUUCCAAUAGGAUAGUUGCCCUUGUGUACUUGGAGACGAUAACAAGGUAUAUGAAGUUUGUCCAGGAGAAUACACAAUAUAUUCCUUUGGUAUUGGCUGCCUUUCAUGAUGAAAGAGGCAUACACCAUCCAAACAUCAAUGUGAGUCGCAGGGCAAGUUAUCUGUUCAUGAGGGUUGUAAAAUUGCUGAAAUCGAAGCUUCUGCUUUUCAUAGAGAUGAUUUUGCAGAGCCUGCAAGAUGUUGUUGCUCGAUUUACAAGUAUGAAUUUUGCAUCUGAAGAUGGUGCUCACAUUUUUGAGGCAAUUGGCCUGUUGAUUGGGAUGGAAGAUGUGCCGCUGGAAAAGCAAUCUGAUUAUCUCUCUUCAUUGCUAACUCCUCUUUGUCAACAGGUUGAGGCAAUGCUGAUGAAUGCAAAAAUAUUGACUCCAGAAGAGUAUCCUCUAAAAAUUGCCAAUAUCCAGCAAAUAAUUGUGGCAAUUAAUGCUCUAAGCAAGGGUUUCAGUGAGCGCCUUGCAACUGCGAGUCGCCCUGCGAUUGGUCACAUGUUUAAGCAGACAUUGGAUGUUCUUCUCCAAAUCCUUGUUGUAUUUCCAAAGGUGGAGCCUUUGCGGACUAAGGUUUUAUCAUUCAUACACCGUAUGGUGGACACCUUAGGUGCAUCUGUGUUUCCUUACCUUCCAAAGGCAUUGGAGCAAUUACUUGCAGAAAGUGAGCCAAAGGAAAUGGUUGGUUUCCUCUUAUUGCUCAAUCAACUUAUAUGCAAAUUCAGCACCUUGGUCCAUGAUAUAUUGGAAGAAGUAUUUCCGGCUAUUGCUGGUAGGAUAUUUAGUGCCAUCCGAAGGAUUGCUGAUUCUUCGGGACCUGAAGCCAAUACUGAGGAAAUUCGUGAAUUGCUAGAACUUCAAAAGACAUUAUAUACUUUUCUUCAUGUGAUAACUACGCAUGAUCUGUCUUCCGUUUUCCUUUCCCCAAAAAGCCUGGGCUACUUGACUUCAAUUAUGCAGUUGCUGUUACAUACAUCUUGCCAUCAUAAGGAUAUUAAUACAAGAAAGGCUUGUGUACAGAUAUUUAUUAGAUUAAUUAAAGACUGGUGUGCCCGGCCUUAUGGUGAAGAAAAGGUACCUGGUUUCCAAAGUUUUAUGAUAGAGACCUUUGCGACAAACUGUUGUUUGUACAGUGUGCUUGAUAAAUCGUUCGAAUUUGGUGACGCAAAUACUCUUAUUUUAUUUGGAGAAAUUGUGUUGGCUCAGAAGGUGAUGUAUGAGAAGUUUGGGGAUGAUUUUCUUGUUCAUUUUGUAUCAAAAGGAUUUCCAUCUGCACACUGCCCUCAAAAUCUGGUAGAGCAGUAUUGUCAAAAAUUGAAGGGUAGUGACAUCAAGGCAUUGAGAUCAUUUUACCAGUUGCUUAUUGAAAAUUUACGUCUCCAACAGAAUGGAAGUCUUGUUUUCAGAUAGCAGCAUCAAGAUGGCCAAAUGAUUAUUUCAGUUUGAUGGUCCAAAAUUUUUUCAGUUUUUUGGCGUUCCAUUUAUUGUUCACCAAAGGUUUCUUUAUGUAAAUAUCAUUUGUGUGCCUAUUCCAUGGACAACGAGUUGUAUAUUUCCGGAAGCAAGCCUUUUUUUUAAUCUUCGAGUUUGGUUAAAUCCUUCAGUUUCAACAUGCUGAGUAGGAUGAAAGUUUUUGUGAGAGCUGUUCAUAGUUUUUUUUUUCCCCUCCAAUUUUAUAAUACAUUUUUCUUGGUUCAUUUAGAUCUCCAAUCGAGUGUAUGUGACUAGAUUAUUACAAAAAAAUAACUAUAGGACAUUCGUUUCGUUCAUUGCUUUUAUACAGUCGUGUUUGUUGGCAAGUUUAUAUGGUCAAUUCAAACUGGCAUUAUACUCCCAA
Non-coding RNA from Theobroma cacao (cacao), 3713 nucleotides. NCBI's taxonomy places the organism in Eukaryota, Viridiplantae, Streptophyta, Magnoliopsida, Malvales, Malvaceae. The record is from RefSeq and is a predicted model, not a curated record.